GACGGAGGGGGCUAGCGUUGUUCGGAAUGACUGGGCGUAAAGGGCGCGUAGGUUGUUUUUUAAGUUAGAUGUGAAAUCCCUGGGCUUAACCCAGGAACUGCAUUUAAAACUGAAAAACUGGAGUGUGGUAGAGGAAUUUGGAAUUCCGAGUGUAGAGGUGAAAUUCGUAGAUAUUCGGAGGAACAUCUGAGGCGAAGGCGAGAUUCUGGGCCACAACUGACACUGAGGCGCGACAGCGUGGGGAGCAAACAGG
RNAcentral lists this ribosomal RNA (253 nucleotides) under uncultured bacterium. RNAcentral's name for it is "partial 16S ribosomal RNA". It matches the Rfam family "Bacterial small subunit ribosomal RNA", at positions 524 to 776 of the family's 1533-position model. The record is from RNAcentral.